RNAcentral lists this microRNA precursor (67 nucleotides) under Bombyx mori (domestic silkworm). RNAcentral's name for it is "mir-2774 microRNA precursor family". It matches the Rfam family "mir-2774 microRNA precursor family". The record is from Rfam by way of RNAcentral. Lineage: Eukaryota; Metazoa; Arthropoda; Insecta; Lepidoptera; Bombycidae.
ACAACAUUCGGACCGUCGGUCUACCGAGCAAUAUCACCCGCUAGGCUUAAAAUCUUUCCUCCGUCGU